Molecule: long non-coding RNA, 123 nt
Organism: Sinocyclocheilus grahami
Lineage: Eukaryota; Metazoa; Chordata; Actinopteri; Cypriniformes; Cyprinidae
Exons: 3
Source: RefSeq, a predicted model, not a curated record
GGCAGAGGGGUCUCACUGGCAUGCCUGGACUUCCUGGUUUACCUGGCCCAUCUGGACCUUUUGGAGCUGAAGGAAAGCCUGGGACUGCAAGGCCUUGUGGGUAAUGCAGGAAGUCAAGGACUA